GGAAUCGCUAGUAAUCGCGGAUCAGCAUGCCGCGGUGAAUACGUUCCCGGGCCUUGUACACACCGCCCGUCACACCACGAAAGUUGGCUGGACCCGAAGCCGGUAGCCCAACCCUCGGGAGGGAGCCGUCAACGGUCUGGUCGAUGAUUGGGGUGAAGUCGUAACAAGGUAGCCGUAGGGGAACCUGCGGCUGGAUCACCUCCUUUAAGG
RNAcentral lists this ribosomal RNA (210 nucleotides) under Candidatus Zixiibacteriota bacterium. RNAcentral describes it as "candidate division Zixibacteria bacterium partial 16S ribosomal RNA". It matches the Rfam family "Bacterial small subunit ribosomal RNA", at positions 1328 to 1533 of the family's 1533-position model. The record is from RNAcentral. Lineage: Bacteria; Pseudomonadati; Candidatus Zixiibacteriota.